Molecule: long non-coding RNA, 1217 nt
Organism: Phyllostomus hastatus (greater spear-nosed bat)
Lineage: Eukaryota; Metazoa; Chordata; Mammalia; Chiroptera; Phyllostomidae
Exons: 2
Source: RefSeq, a predicted model, not a curated record
GCCCAGGCCACAGCCAGCAGGAGCUCUGGUCCUCGCUAGAGCAGCUGCAAGCGGGCAUCACUGUCCCCGGGGAGGGGACCCCACCUCGGACCAACAGAGGUGAAGUCCCGCUUUCUAAAGUUACUCCCAGGCGAGAACAAGUGGAGAAGGACACUUGGGAGGACCAGUUGCAACAUGCUGACUCAUCUUGGGUGCCUAGAAGACUGAAGCGAUUCGAAUAGUGAUUCUAUCAACGGCAUCGCGAAAAUAAUUUAAGAGAGAAACUCCCGACAUGCAAGAUUCCAGAGAAGCAAUCUGAUUGAUGUUCUACCUCAUGGGCCCUCCUCUCCCUGUUACUUGGCUGUGGCAGCCCAGGGACCGGCCUGAAAGGAUUCUGUGUUUAUGCUAUGUUAGCAGUUGGUUUCCCCCAGGUUUUGACUAUGACCAGACAUUGAAGCUCUAGGUACUUCCUAAGGGUUUAACAUUUUAUUCGUUUUUCAGGAGAUGACGAGGAAUGUACAUUUCUGUCCUGCUUAAGGUAAACACUUCCAAAAGGUAUUUGUUCUCAACUUUCAUUUUAGUUUUGCUUAAUGUGAAGAAAGAAAAAAAAAACUACUUUCAUACAGCAUUGUGAUUGUAACAGUAGGUUCUUUGCGUUUGCACAAAAAGAACAUGAUUCCAUAGCAUUCAUUGUGUAGCGUUCUUGGUGGUUUUAUAUGAAAUAUUAUUGAAUGACACUGCACAUGAACAAUAGUUUCAUAAGCACUCUUUAGGAAGCAGACACAGCUUCAGUUCAGCACUACGCAAACAUGCCACUACAGAUAGCCUCUAGAAGGUGCUAAGAAAAUAUGAGAAAAUAAAAUAACUACAUAAAAUAAAAUACACAAUAAAUAAGAUGAUGAUAAAUAGAAUACAUAAAAAGCUUUGUGUGGGACUGGAUGGUGCUUACGGGUGUAGAAGAGAGAGAGAAGCGGGGAGGGAGUGGAAGGAGAGAGACUGUGGACUGUAACCUCCCUCACGUAUGUGCGGCGUUGUGCUGAAUAAAGCUCCUGAAGCCAGAACACAGAACAGGUGGCUGACAUAGGCUGCUCAAUUUAGAUACUCCCACAUAUCAAAAGGAUACCAGGUACCAUCACUGCUUGUUUUACUAUUUUCCCUGUGGAUUUGCUUUCAUAGCCUAAGGACUGUCUCAUCUGGGCUUUCUAAUAUGUAAUAAAAUUAUAUGUAAAAAUUGUUAA